CUUUCAAGACACCCAAGGUCACCUUACAGAGCAUAAAGUUAUCAUAAAUCGUUUAAAAACAAGACAUUGUGGAAAAAUAAUAAUAAUAGAUAAAUAAAUAAAACAAAAACAAGACAAAACAAUCAAGACUGAUCAGUUAGACGUAAAUACAUACUGACACGUACGUCGUACAAUAUCUUGAUAAUUUUCGAUGGUUGCGCCGUACUUCUAACCACGUUGACGGGACUCGCGCUGCGUACGAAACGGCCUUCUACUUGCGGGCCCAUUUUUUACAUCAGUGAAGGCUGUAAAUCAUUUCAAACUGGAAGACAUUUUGACAGUUCUUCAACGGAACCCAGCACCUGAAUAUGGCUGAGUAAAUUUGAUUUAAUAUCGAUACUGCUUAGUGUUUGUUACUUAAGCUUUUGUACGUUCUAAAUAUCUGCGGCCAUUAUUUGCCACAGAAGUUAAACCCUACCCAAUGGAAUGACGUUAAACAACGACUUUGUUGCAGAGUUACCAACUGGAUAAUAUCAAAGCUAAAAUAAUGGCAGUUUUUCUCACAUGUUACAGUAGAAGAUUAUCCAGAACUGUAAAAGGUUAAAAAGGUAACAUGUAGUUUGUCCCAAGGUGUCUGCCUCCUCACCCAGAGCCAGACCUCCACCUCCUCACCCAGAGCCAGACCUCCACCUCCUCCCCCAGAGCCAGACCUCCACCUCCUCACCCAGAGCCAGACCUCCACCUCCUGUCAGAAGUCCUCCAGAACAGCUGAGAGGCGAGGCUGAGAGGCUGGGGACCGUCUUGUGGUGCCAGGAUGGACCGGAGACUGAGGCUGGAGACCAGGGGCCUGCAGCACCGGACCAGAGGGCCCCGCCUGGUGGAGGAGCUGGUGGAGGCCCUGCCUGGUGGAGGACGUCUGCCGUGGGGUAGAUGGAGCUUGACUCUGAAGUGAUCAUCACACUCGCUGCCACUUCUCGUAGAAUACUGCUACCACAAACUACCGGCGUUUGUACCAUUAUAUACCAGACAACUACAUCUGUUUUACCACAUGUUGAAGCAAGACUUCCGCUGUUUGUUCCAGACCAGCACUCUGUCUGAAGAGAGCUGCUGGAGGAGCUGAGACGCUGGAGGACGACUAGGAAUCGUCCAACAAGGAUUCCUUACGUAAGGGCCAGACUCGCGCUGUUUGUUCCAGACCAGGACUCUGGCUGAGGAGAGCUGAUGGAGGAGCCAAGACUCUGGAGGACGACAUCACUCCACCAACCAGGAUCCUCAGACAAAUUACGUUUGUAACCAGACCAGGAAUCUGGAGGACUGAUGGAGAAGCCGUACAUCUGGAAGGCAAAUCCUGAGGACCACCAGGACUCUACCAUCAAGGAUUCCUCGUAAGUUUGCAUUAUCUGGACAUGGUGGACUAGACACACCUGAGCUGAACCUCACCUGAUCCUGUUUGUCGGGGGCAGACACACCUGAGCUGAACCCCAACUGAACCUGACAUCCUGCUGGUCCCGUCUCCUCAGUUCAUCUGAGCCUCGUCCUCCAGAAGACUUGCUGAGCUCAGCAGAGGCUGAUGUAUCAAUGACCUCCAUUGGGAGUGAUCUUCUUGACCCCACAUGUAACCGUGUGCUUCCACACGCCUUUCCCUCACGUCUGUCACUAACCUCACUACUUCACUACUCUCUACUGCUUCUUCUUCUUCUUCCUUCUCUGUGGUUCGAACCUGUACACGGAAGGCGCGUCUUCCUGCCCUCAGAGGGUUCAGCGUUAGGGUUGAGAGUCAGGGUUUAGAGUCAGGGACAGAGCUGGUUAGGGAGGACUGCUUUUACACAAACCUCUUCACUUGCUUUACGGAAUGGUGGUGACAUUUUGAAAAGAUUCAUUUGAGGAAAUGUUUUCCUCUGCUUUCCUUUACAAAAUUGUAUUAAACUUCUGUCAAGUGUUUUUGUUGAGGAGAGCUGAUGGAGGAGCCAAGACUCGAGCCAAGAGGACGACAUCACUCUACCAACAAGGAUCCUCAGACACAUUACGUUUGGAACAAGACCAGGAAUCUGGAGGACUGAUGGAGAAGCCGUACAUCUGGAAGGCAAAUCCUGAGGACCACCAGGACUCUACCAUCAAGGAUUCCUCAUGAGUUUGCAUUAUCUGGACAAAGUGGACUAGACGCACCUGAGCUGAACCUCACCUGAUCCUGUUUGGUCGGGGGUAGACACACCUGAGCUAAACCCGCCCUGAUCCUGACAUCCUGCUGGUCCCGUCUCCUCAGUUCAUCUGAGCCUCGUCCUCCAGAAGACCUGCUGAGCUCAGCAGUCUGAGGCUGAUGGAUCAAUGACCUCCAGUGGGAGUGAUCUUCUUGACCCCACAUGUAACCGUGUGCUUCCACACGCCUUUCCCUCACGUCUGUCACUAACUUCACUACUCUCUACUGCUUCCUCUUUCCUUCCUUCUCUGUGGUUCGAACCUUUACACGGAAGGCGCGUCUUCCUGCCCUCAGAGGGUUUAGCGUUAGGGUUGAGAGUCAGGGUUUAGAGUCAGGGACAGAGCUGGUCAGGGAGGACUGCUUUAACACAAACCUCUUCACUUGCUUUCGGAAUGGUGGUGACAUUUUGAAAAGAUUCAUUUGGGAAAAUGUUUUCCUCUGCUUCCCUUUACAAAAUUGUAUUAAACUUCUGUCAAGUGCUUUUGUUUAUAUAUUAAAAUUCCACAUUGACUUCUA
This is a long non-coding RNA of Gadus macrocephalus (Pacific cod), 2692 nucleotides long. RefSeq lists it as uncharacterized. The record is from RefSeq and is a predicted model, not a curated record. The transcript has 8 exons. NCBI's taxonomy places the organism in Eukaryota, Metazoa, Chordata, Actinopteri, Gadiformes, Gadidae.